GUCCUGGGGAAGGGCAAUGGAAAAUUCCUCCCAGACGUGUAUCAGCAUAUCAAAAGCAAGUUCAUUAUGAAACUAAAGAAUAAAUUUGCUUUACUUGAGGUGAUUUCAGAAGAUAUUGACAUAGAAGGGAAAUGGAAAAACUUCGAUAAAGCAUUCAACCAGACAGCCAAAGAAGUACUCA
This is a long non-coding RNA of Octopus sinensis (East Asian common octopus), 181 nucleotides long. RefSeq lists it as uncharacterized. The transcript is spliced from 3 exons. The record is from RefSeq and is a predicted model, not a curated record. NCBI's taxonomy places the organism in Eukaryota, Metazoa, Mollusca, Cephalopoda, Octopoda, Octopodidae.